UCAAGUGACUAAGCGCACACGGUGGAUGCCUUGGCAGUCAGAGGCGAUGAAGGACGUUGGAGCUUGCGAAAAGUCUCGGGGAGGUAGCAACCAACCUUUGAUCCGGGAAUGUCCGAAUGGGGAAACCCACCCAAUGUAAGUUGGGUAUCUGCGACUGAAUACAUAGGUCGUAGAAGCGAACGCGGGGAACUGAAACAUCUAAGUACCCGUAGGAAAAGAAAUCAAUUGAGAUUCCCCCAGUAGCGGCGAGCGACCGGGGAAGAGCCUGCAUGUAAUAGCUUAUGGAUUAGUGGAACGGUCUGGAAAGUCCGGCGAUAGAGGGUGAUAGCCCCGUACACGAAAAUCUGAAAGUGGUACUGAGCAUGCGAUAAGUAGGUCGGGACACGUGAUAUCUUGACUGAAGACGGGGGGACCAUCCUCCAAGGCUAAAUACUCCUGACUGACCGAUAGUGAACCAGUACCGUGAGGGAAAGGCGAAAAGAACCCCGGAGAGGGGAGUGAAAUAGAUCCUGAAACCGUGUGCGUACAAGCAGUGGGAGCAGACUUGUUCUGUGACUGCGUACCUUUUGUAUAAUGGGUCAGCGACUUAUUGUCUGUAGCAAGCUUAACCGUAUAGGGGAGGCGUAGGGAAACCGAGUCUUAAUAGGGCGUUUAGUUGCAGGCAAUAGACCCGAAACCGGGCGAUCUAUCCAUGGCCAGGCUGAAGGUUGGGUAACACUAACUGGAGGGCCGAACCCACUAAUGUUGAAAAAUUAGGGGAUGAGCUGUGGAUCGGAGUGAAAGGCUAAUCAAGCCCGGAGAUAGCUGGUUCUCCUCGAAAUCUAUUUAGGUAGAGCGUCGUGUCUUACCCUGGGGGGUAGAGCACUGUUUGGGCUAGGGGGUCAUCCCGACUUACCAACCCCAUGCAAACUCCGAAUACCCAGGAGUACAAUCACGGCAGACAGACAGCGGGUGCUAACGUCCGUUGUCGAGAGGGCAACAACCCAGACCGCCAGCUAAGGUCCCUAAUACCAGUUAAGUGGGAAACGAUGUGGGAAGGCUCAGACAGCUAGGAGGUUGGCUUAGAAGCAGCCACCCUUUAAAGAAAGCGUAAUAGCUCACUAGUCGAGUCGGCCUGCGCGGAAGAUGUAACGGGGCUAAAUUGGUAACCGAAGCUGCGGAUGCAUGCUUGCAUGCAUGGUAGAGGAGCGUUCUGUAAGCCGUUGAAGGUGAACCGGGAGGUUUGCUGGAGGUAUCAGAAGUGCGAAUGCUGACAUGAGUAACGAUAAGGGGGGUGAAAAACCUCCCCGCCGGAAGACCAAGGGUUCCUAUCCAAUGCUAAUCAGGGUAGGGUGAGUCGACCCCUAAGGCGAGGCCGAAAGGCGUAGUCGAUGGGAAACAGGUUAAUAUUCCUGUACUUCUUGUUAUUGCGAUGGAGUGACGGAGAAGGCUAGGCCAUCACGGCGUUGGUUGUCCGUGUUUAAGGCUGUAGGCUGGGGAAUUAGGAAAAUCCGGUUCCCUAAGGCUGAGAGUCGAUGACGAGUCCUCUUUUGGACGAAGUGGUUGAUGCCAUGCUUCCAGGAAAAACUUCUAAGCUUCAGAUAACAAGAAAUCGUACCCCAAACCGACACAGGUGGUCAGGUAGAGAAUACCAAGGCGCUUGAGAGAACUCGGGUGAAGGAACUAGGCAAAAUGGUACCGUAACUUCGGGAGAAGGUACGCCCCUGACGGUGAUGAGACUUGCUCUCUAAGCUGUUGGGGGUCGAAGAUACUAGGUGGCUGCGACUGUUUAUUAAAAACACAGCACUCUGCAAACACGAAAGUGGACGUAUAGGGUGUGACGCCUGCCCGGUGCUGGAAGAUUAAAUGAUGGGGUGCAAGCUCUUGAUUGAAGUCCCAGUAAACGGCGGCCGUAACUAUAACGGUCCUAAGGUAGCGAAAUUCCUUGUC
Molecule: ribosomal RNA, 1929 nt
Filed under: seawater metagenome
Description: bacterial LSU rRNA
Rfam family: Bacterial large subunit ribosomal RNA
Source: RNAcentral